CUCCCUCUUUCCUUUUUUCUUUUCUUAUCCAUUUCCUUGUUUCUCUAUGUCAUUCAUGAUGGGAUUGUGAUGGGAUAGGACAAUGGGGAAAGAUAGAUGUCAAUGCAUGCACCAGGCUUAAGCGGUUCAGUAGAAAUCAUGAAGCAUAUGAACGCAUGCUGGAUAGCGCAUAGCCGAGGGACAGUGUCAUAUAAUCGAGUCUAAAGCUGGGCACAUAGACAGCCGCACAUGGGUGCAUAAGGAUCGUUUGGGCACCAUCUGAGGUUUGGCGAG
This 273-nucleotide long non-coding RNA is filed under the name Elaeis guineensis (African oil palm). RNAcentral describes it as "long non-coding RNA (EGUI_LNC071968)". The record is from RNAcentral. Lineage: Eukaryota; Viridiplantae; Streptophyta; Magnoliopsida; Arecales; Arecaceae.